This is a transfer RNA of 78 nucleotides. It matches the Rfam family "tRNA". Rfam says of the family: Transfer RNA (tRNA) molecules are approximately 80 nucleotides in length. Their secondary structure includes four short double-helical elements and three loops (D, anti-codon, and T loops). Further hydrogen bonds mediate the characteristic L-shaped molecular structure. tRNAs have two regions of fundamental functional importance: the anti-codon, which is responsible for specific mRNA codon recognition, and the 3' end, to which the tRNAs corresponding amino acid is attached (by aminoacyl-tRNA synthetases). tRNAs cope with the degeneracy of the genetic code in two manners: having more than one tRNA (with a specific anti-codon) for a particular amino acid; and 'wobble' base-pairing, i.e. permitting non-standard base-pairing at the 3rd anti-codon position.
GCCCCGGUAGCUCAGCCUGGCCAGAGCAGCGCACUUGUACUGCGCGUGCCGCCGGUUCGAAUCCGGCUUGGGGCUCAA